This 22-nucleotide microRNA is filed under the name Apis mellifera (honey bee). RNAcentral's name for it is "ame-miR-9885-5p". Lineage: Eukaryota; Metazoa; Arthropoda; Insecta; Hymenoptera; Apidae. The record is from miRBase by way of RNAcentral.
UCGGCAAUGAUCGGACGUGGUC